RNAcentral lists this ribosomal RNA (279 nucleotides) under uncultured bacterium. RNAcentral's name for it is "partial 16S ribosomal RNA". It matches the Rfam family "Bacterial small subunit ribosomal RNA", at positions 506 to 784 of the family's 1533-position model. The record is from RNAcentral.
UGCCAGCCGCCGCGGUAAUACGGAGGGGGCAAGCGUUGUUCGGAGUCACUGGGCGUAAAGCGCACGUAGGUGGAUUAUCAAGUCAGGAGUUAAAGGCAACGGCUCAACCGUUGUAAGGCUUUUGAAACUGGUAGUCUAGAGUAUCAGAGAGGAAUGCGGAAUUUCCGGUGUAGCGGUGAAAUGCGUAGAUAUCGGAAGGAACACCAGUUGCGAAGGCGGCAUUCUGGCUGAUUACUGACACUGAGGUGCGAGAGCAUGGGUAGCAAACAGGAUUAGAUA